GUAUUUUAGCCCACAAAAUAUUUGCACAAAUUUUACACAUGUGUUGUGUAAAGGCCUUCACACUAAAGGGUUGCGUCAUGGUUCUGAAAUUUGGCCCAGAGUUUUUCUGACUUAAGUCUUGUUAUUUGAUACUCUGUUUGGUUCCUAGUUGGUUGUUAUUUUUAGUUUAUAGUUACCCAUGUUAUUUUUCAUAGCUUUUCCCUUGUGUUCUUCUUGGUCAAGGCUUCUCUGCAUUUAGUUCCUGUAUUGUUUUGGUAGUCCUUUCAAAUCAUUUCAAUCCAGUUUUAUUUGCAUAGCACCAAAUCACAACAACAGUCACCUCAACGUGCUCUAAAUUGUAAAAUAAAGACCCUUCUAUAUUACAGUGAAACACCUCUCUUGUUUCUUGUACUUUUAGUUUUACUUCAUUUGUCUUGGUACCCUGAUUAGUCUCUCAGCUGUUAUUUGUUCCACGCCUGUUCCCUAUUCCCCUGAUUACCCCUUAGUGCAUCAGCUUGUAUAUAUAGCUUAAGUUUUCCGUUUGUUACUUCUGGUGACAUCUGCAUACAUUUAUUUCAAAGCAUAUUUCAAACGUCUGCAAUGGGUCCUCAUUGUGCUAGAUUAUGACAGUUUGGCUUUUUUUGACAUCAAAUGUGUUUGUUUAAUUUUUCAAGCCGCAGGUCACUCCAGGAGGGCUGGAUACUAUCCCAGCUGUCGCAGAUCAGGGACCACCACCAUCAUCCCACCCAGCCUCCAGGUCUUCUGAAACUUUCCAGUAAAGAGGGAGGAAUUUUUCAAAAAACUGGUCAAACAUGUCUCUAACAUGUCUACUUGGCAUCUUUCCAUUGUCAGAACCAAAACAUGCCAGAAUCUUCAAUCAAACUUAUGUGUUACUGUAAUCUCAUUACAUUUUUAGAAAUUCAGUAUAAAUGCUGAACAAAUUGAGUCAUUUCAUUACUGUUAUGUGUACAGUUACUGGUGUUACAGUUUUUUUGUGAGGGAUAUCAGCAUAUCGAACACACCUACUGGCAGUACAUCAAAAAUAUAAUUGGCAUCUAUUUACCGUCACAUAAAACAUGUCCAUAGCUACAAUGGUAUCGCAUAGUAGUGGUAUAUAGAACCAGCUGUGAUUCACCUACAGCUUGAGAUAUGGAGAAAUUGACUCUUUGUGAUCAUAAUGUUGUGUAUCUUGUGACAAUUAUUAUUAUAUGCAGAUUAUUUACAGUACUGACGUGCUUACA
Oreochromis niloticus (Nile tilapia) is the source of this 1220-nucleotide long non-coding RNA. RefSeq lists it as uncharacterized. The record is from RefSeq and is a predicted model, not a curated record. NCBI's taxonomy places the organism in Eukaryota, Metazoa, Chordata, Actinopteri, Cichliformes, Cichlidae. The transcript has 3 exons.